Mus musculus (house mouse) is the source of this 3520-nucleotide long non-coding RNA. RefSeq annotates it as predicted gene 28609. The record is from RefSeq and is a predicted model, not a curated record. The transcript has 3 exons. NCBI's taxonomy places the organism in Eukaryota, Metazoa, Chordata, Mammalia, Rodentia, Muridae.
UAAAAAGCCUGAGCUCUGGAGUUGCAGCUCACCCUGAUUAGGCUUUGAGGGACUGUCUCUGCAAAAGCAGAGGAAGGAAGGACCGUGCAGCUGUGUAGAGUUGGAAUUGAUCCCUAAGGCUGGACAUGGGGCGGGAAAGCCCCAAGGCACUAAGACAAAGGGGGAAGGCAUGAAUGCCACGGACAUAUGUGGAGAUCAGAGGACAGCGUUCACGAGUCCUUCAAAAACAGGCAGGUGAACUGUGUAGCAAAAAUGACCUUGAACUCCUGGGUUUCCUGCCUUUACCUCCCAAGUGCUGGAAUUACAGGUGUGUGCGACCACACCUAGGUGAGUCUAGUUAUGUGUGUAUGGGGUGUGUGUAUGUAUAUUUGUGGGUGGUAUAUGUAUAUGAAAGUAUAAGUGGUGUGUGUGUGGGGGGUUGUUGGGGAACAUGUGUGUAUGGGAUAUAUGUAUGGUAUGUUUGUAGUGAGUGUGGUGUAUUUGUGGUACCUGUGGUGUGGGGUCUGUUGUGGAGGAUGGGAAGAGUGUAUGUGUAUGUAGUGUGGUGUGAGUGUGGUAUGUCUGUAUGCUGUCAAUGUGUGGGGGUGUGGUAUGUCUGUAUGCUGUACAUGUGUGGGGGUGUGGUAUGUCUGUAUGCUGUACAUGUGUGGGGGUGUGGUAUACAUGUGUGAGUGUGUGUGUUGUAUCGUGUUUGUGUGUGUGUAUGGAAGGAUAGAAGAUAGGACUUUGGGCUUUACCAUCGAGCCACAUCCCCAGCCCUAUCAGAUUCUUGAGUGCUAAGUUCCACUCAAUUCAAAAUAGGAGACAGGUCCUCCCUCAGCUGAGGUGCCCUCCCAGGACCCUGGCAAAGUUGGCCAGAGUUGUGGCUGUAUGUGAGGUGUGAUUACUACUGUCCUCAAAGUCCCCAAAGAUCAAGGCAGCUGUCUGCUCAUUUCUUCACUUGCUGAUCUUUCACCCUUCCGUAGCUCUUCAAAGGUUACUUCUGGGGUUGGAGAGAUGCUCAGCGGUUAAGAGCACUGACUGCUCUUAAAGGUUCUGAGUUCAAUUCUCAGCAACCACAUGGUGGUUCACAUACAAUCAUCUGUAAUGGGAUUCGAAGCCCUCUUCUUGUGUUUCCUGUAAACAGUUAUAAGUGUAUUUAUAUAAAUAAAAAUAAGUAUUUUUUCUUUAAAAAAAAAAAGGUUACUUUUGACCCACUUGGGGGAUGUGGACGGACUCUGAAGGAGUCUUGCUAUUUGAAAUUAAAAGGAGUCAGAAGAACAGGACAAGAUAGCCAGGCUUGGUUAUCCAAAAGUGGUAAAACGGUCCCAGAAAAGAGUACCCUAUUGUUUUUACAGGGCACUAGAAGAGUGUUCAACAUAGGACUGACCGGGGCUGUCACACUACAGAGCUAUACCCCAGCCCACCUUUAGACUUUUAAUCCAGGUGAGUCUACUUCAGCUCUGCCUGAGCCUGGACAAGCAGAGCAUUAAUGCUUGCCUUAGCUAGGCACCAUUGUGAAGUGGAAAACUAAGGCCAUGCGCAAUAAUCUCCCAGCUUCCUGCCUCUUCCCACACUAUGCUAUUCGCACUUGCAGGAAGCCCAACUUUCUUCCAUCUGGUUUCCUACUGCCACAACUGGCUUCCUCUUGUGCCCCACCCACUUGAUCCUCUGCAGGAUAAUGUUCCUUGGGUUUUGUGAGCUCCCCUCCUCACCUCUAGCUGAGUCCUUUUCUCAGCCGGGUUUCACACAGGCAUAUAAACAAUGCCUCUCCUAACUUAAAGCCAAAACCUACAGCCUGAGCGCCCUUGGCUUUAGCUUUAGGUUCUCAGCUCUUCCCUCCAUUCUCAGCUCAGCUGCAAGAAAGAGUGGACAGCACCUAACGCUCCCUCCCAUGUUCUCUCGGUUGGGCUCCCACUAAAGCCACUCCCCAAAUACCUUGGCAGCCCAAUUCAGAGGUCUCAUGUUGCCAGAUGUCACUUGUUCUGGUCCACUUAGUUCUCAUUCUCUCUCUCUCAUUCUCUUGUUCUCUUCUUCUCCUAUCCUCUGCUUCCGGUCCUGUGACACUAUUUCUAUUUAUUUCUUUACUUACUUAUUUGUUAUUGUAUGUGUUUGGCGUGUGUGAGUAUACACAUGUGGGUGCACACACACACACAUAUGCAUGUGCCACAGUCCAUGUGUGGCAGUCAGAAAACAACUUUUAGGGGUUGGUUCUCUCCUUCCACCUUUGUGUGAGUUCCAAGAAUCAAACUCAGGUCAGCAGCCUUGCAGAGCGAGGACUGUUCUGGCUGAGCCAUCAAACACAUCAAACGGUGUGGACUCAAACCUCCAUCCUCAGCCUGCUGCUCAUGCCCCCGUCCUGCACUUAUAGCCUCAUUCACUCCUGUUCCUGUCCACACCACUCUCACGCUAAUAAUUCCAGAUGUGCAUUCCUCCUUCAUUUCAUGUGAUCACCCAUACCUCAAAACCCAAAGGGCCAAACCCAAACCCCCAGCUCCUUUCUUCUCUACUCCCAUCCCAGACAGCUCCCCCCAAUGGCACUACAGAAUCCCAGGCUAGACGCCCUCCCCUCCAGUCAUUCUGAAAGCCCUCCUCUUUCAUCUGCAGUCCUAUCACAGACUGUGACUCUGUUUACAUCCUCCUGUCCUAACUGCCACAGUCCUGGUUCCAGCCCUGUUCUUCUUUCUCCUGAGCUACUACAACAGACUCCUAACAGUCCUGCCUGCUACAGUCACUUCCUCUUCAAGGUUUCUAAAGUGUGGAUUGGAUCCUUUCACUCCCUGCUUAGAACCCCUCAAUGGCUCUCUAUUGGCCUCAGUAACAAGACUGCUCUUUUCCCUGUCACCCCUACGUGCAUCCCUGUGUAUUUAACACCUCUUGACUUGAUGCAAGCACGUGCUUCCAGGCAUAGCUUUCCCGAUCCAGGUCCCUCCUGUGACUCUAACUUAUCCUUUUGUGACUCUUCUCUGAGAUUGAGUUCAAGAGCUUUCUCCAAAGCCCCAAACUGGACCCCACGUCCCUUACACAAAUCUUUUGGUUUUUUUGUUUUGUUUUGUUUUGUUUUUUGUUUUUUGGAGACAGGGUUUCUCUGUUCAGUCCUGGCUGUCCUGGAAAUCACUCUGUAGACAAGGCUGGCCUCGAACUCAGAAAUCCACCUGCCUCUGCCCUCCCAAGUGCUGGGAUUACAGGCGUGCACCACCAUUGCCCGGCUCCCUUAUACAAAUCUUUAAAAUGGUCUUAAAAUAUUGUAUUCCAGGACUAGAGAGAUGGUUCAGGGGCUGAAGGCAAUUGGCUGCUCUUCUAGAAGACCUGAGCUCAAAUUCCAGCACCUACCCACAUGGCAGAUCACAAUUGUCCGUAACUCUAGAUCAGAUAGCGUCCAACAUCCUUUUCUGGUCUCCAGGGCACAUGGUGCAUAGGCAUACAUGCAAGUAAAACACUAAUAUACAAAAUUUUAACUAAAAUACUGUAUCCAGAAUUAAAUCUAACUAGAAAAGCUAGUUUUAAACAUUGUGCCAGGCAUAGUGGCAUACAUCUGUGA